Molecule: ribosomal RNA, 497 nt
Filed under: uncultured bacterium
Lineage: Bacteria
Description: partial 16S ribosomal RNA
Rfam family: Bacterial small subunit ribosomal RNA
Source: RNAcentral
GAUGAACGCUGGCGGCGUGCCUAAUACAUGCAAGUCGAGCGAACAGACGAGGAGCUUGCUCCUCUGACGUUAGCGGCGGACGUGUGAGUAACACGUGGAUAACCUACCUAUAAGACUGGGAUAACUACGGGAAACCGGAGCUAAUACCGGAUAAUAUAUUGAACCGCAUGGUUCAAUAGUGAAAGACGGUUUUGCUGUCACUUAUAGAUGGAUCCGCGCCGCAUUAGCUAGUUGGUAAGGUAACGGCUUACCAAGGCAACGAUGCGUAGCCGACCUGAGAGGGUGAUCGGCCACACUGGGACUGAGACACGGUCCAGACUCCUACGGGAGGCAGCAGUAGGGAAUCUUCCGCAAAGGGCGCAAGCCUGACGGAGCAACGCCGCGUGAGUGAUGAAGGUCUUCGGAUCGUAAACCUCUGUUAUUAGGGAAGAACAAAUGUGUAAGUAACUAUGCACGUCUUGACGGUACCUAAUCAGAAAGCCACGGCUAACUACGUG